AUCUCCGGUUACAAACGUAAAUUUUUUACAUACUCCCCUGGGAGAAAGGGUUACACAUUUUGCACUUAGCCAUUAGCAUUUCCCAUUCAUUUGUAUUUUAGAUUUGUGAAGAGCUGGCAUCUAGCAGGGUUCUGUGGGAGUGAGAAACAGGGUAGACAACAGUGGUUGGUGAGACACGGGCUGGGCAAGAGAGGCCAAAAUGUACUGAACUAAACAAGAAUGUGGACACAUGGCUUUUGUGUCCCCUCUAGGUAAGGGGCGCAGUUCUAUGAGACUCCUGGGGUGCCAAAAUGGGGUGUCUGGAACAUUUUCACCGUCGGUGCAGGCAGUGGAUAGGAUUUUUGGAAUCUGGACUGUCUUGGAUUUCUGGCGUCUGGUCUUCCCAGCCUCUAGGUGGGGCCAGUUGACCCGGGCAGCCCAGAACCCUGGGAGAUGUGAUUGACGGGGUCGGGCAGCACCCAGUUGGCACAGUCGAGCCAGAGGCAGCAGUGACAAGAGGGCUGGCAAUUGCAAGGUUCCGGGGGGAGGCGAUUCCGAGGGGACUGCCGGCCAACCACGUAGUUCCUUUCUUCCCGGGCCGACACUGGCCACACGUGAGGCCUGAAGAUGGGGCACGGGAGGCCAAGGACAAGGGAUGUUACUCCUGAAACCAUGCACCUCAGAUUGGGAUUUGAACCCACGCAGCAGGGACUCGAACCCAGCCAAAACCCACAGUCUUCCAACUGACAUCACACACCUGGUUUCAGGACUUAAUGAAGCUCAGGUUCUUGAUGUCUCAUCGCAGAAAGAAUUCAGUGAGAGACAAAGGGAUAGGUGCCGUACUGGGGGGCCUCCAAGGAGCUCCAGUCCUUUAUGUCUCAACGCAGAAAGAAGCCAGAGGGAAAGUGAUAGAUAAGAAGUGAUUUAU
Long non-coding RNA from Physeter macrocephalus (sperm whale), 907 nucleotides. RefSeq lists it as uncharacterized. The record is from RefSeq and is a predicted model, not a curated record. The transcript is spliced from 3 exons. NCBI's taxonomy places the organism in Eukaryota, Metazoa, Chordata, Mammalia, Artiodactyla, Physeteridae.